AGUAGUUUGAUCCGUGGCUCGAGGACGAACGCUGGCGGCGUGCUUAACACAUGCAAGUCGAACGAGAAUCCGGGGAAGGAGUUUUCGGACAACGGAACCGGAGGAAAGUGGCGGACGGGUGAGUAACGCGUGAGGAACCUGCCUUGGAGAGGGGGACAACAGCUGGAAACGGCUGCUAAUACCGCAUGAUACGUGAUGGGGACAUCCCUGACACGUCAAAGAUUUAUCGCUCUGAGAUGGCCUCGCGUCUGAUUAGCUGGUUGGUGAGGUAACGGCCCACCAAGGCGACGAUCAGUAGCCGGACUGAGAGGUUGAACGGCCACAUUGGGACUGAGAUACGGCCCAGACUCC
Molecule: ribosomal RNA, 351 nt
Filed under: uncultured Oscillospira sp.
Lineage: Bacteria; Bacillati; Bacillota; Clostridia; Eubacteriales; Oscillospiraceae
Description: bacterial SSU rRNA
Rfam family: Bacterial small subunit ribosomal RNA
Source: RNAcentral